AGCUGUGGCUCCGCCCCCUGCCUCCCCCCACCCCCCCACCCCAUCAUUAGUGACUUAAAUCCUUGUGUUAGUGCCUUUUCUAUUGUGAUAAAACACCAUGACCAAGAGAACCCUGGUUCCGUUAACCAGUGCCACAUGGCAGCUCACGCCUGCCUGUAACUCCAGCUCCAAGGGUCAGACACCCUCUUCUGGCCUCUGAAUGAACCUGCACACACAUACCACUCCCACCAACUACAACAGCAGCAGCAGCAGCAGCAGCAGCAGCAACAGCAGCAGGUUUUUGAGCUGGGAGUUAGGGUGCAUGUCUGUAAUCCCAGGACUAAGUCUGCUUGGUUGCCAUGAGCUUCCAGCCAGUCUGGGUGAUGCCAUCAGCUCUAGGCUUGUCUGAGCUGCAGGUUUCACAGCAUAGCCCCUCAUAGAAGGAAGUCGGGACAGGAUCGCAAACAGAGCAGGACCUGGAGGCAGGAGCUGAUGCAGAGGCCACGGAGGGGUGCUGCUUGCUGGCUUGCUCAGUCCUUCUUACAGACCCAGCCCAGUAAUGGUACCACCCUUGGUGGGCUGGGCUCUCCCCCAUAAGUCACAAAUUAAGAAAAUGUCCUAAAGGCUUGCCUACAGCCCAGUUUUAUGGAGACAUAUUCUUAUUUGAGGCUCCAAUGAUUCUAGCNUAUGUAGGGUUGACCUAAAACUAGCCAGCCCAGGUGGGAACAAAAAGCUGUGCAUAUAAAGGAGACUUGAAUACUUUAGAUUGGAAGGAUGGGGCAUAAUGAAGUCAGAACUCACAACUGAGCACACAUCCCCUUUGGCUCCCACCUCACCGCAGCAUCUGCUUGUCCUUCAUUCUUCUCUACCCACCCCAGACCAUGUUAUAAAUGAAGCCAGUCACAGUUAGACCUGGUCCCUACUGAAGAUUUCCUCCCUGAUCUUUGGAGUCGGCUUUCUCUCUGCUGACUGACUUCCUCCCAAACCAUGGUUCCACACCAACCUAUAGGAGAACGUUGGACUGGAGUGGGACAGAGAGAAGUCAGGGAGGUUUUCCAGGUGUCUGGUCUCUUGAAUGUGUCGCUUCCUUAGUCAGAAACUGACCUGCGCCUACACUGUUUCUGUC
RNAcentral lists this long non-coding RNA (1105 nucleotides) under Mus pahari (shrew mouse). Its description in RNAcentral is "predicted gene 28156 (MGP_PahariEiJ_G0002621.1)". Lineage: Eukaryota; Metazoa; Chordata; Mammalia; Rodentia; Muridae. The record is from RNAcentral.